UCGGCCGUGGUGCACGGUGCACGCCUGUUCCAAUUGUCCGGCGAUCAUAGUACACUUAGAUGACAGGAAUCCCGGGUUCGACUCCCGGCGUCCGAA
Mycena crocata is the source of this 96-nucleotide non-coding RNA. Lineage: Eukaryota; Fungi; Basidiomycota; Agaricomycetes; Agaricales; Mycenaceae. The record is from the annotation of a GenBank genome assembly.